This is a non-coding RNA of Ictidomys tridecemlineatus (thirteen-lined ground squirrel), 837 nucleotides long. Lineage: Eukaryota; Metazoa; Chordata; Mammalia; Rodentia; Sciuridae. The record is from RefSeq and is a predicted model, not a curated record.
GUCAGGUCACACUGAGCCUUGUAAGCUGUGGGCGUGGGGGGUGGCAGCCCGGUGACCUGCCCUGGAGGACUUCACAGCUCCUGAUCUUCAGUGCAAAGCCACAGCACCUCCAAGAGUCACGUGGUGCCCGGAGGGGACAUGCAGCAGCACUGGAUGGAUGGGUCCCUUCUCCGCUCUCCUUCAACUCCUGCAUCCUGUGAAGUCUCAGGCGGAUGCAAACACGCCUGCUUCCCGAACUCCCGGAGACCUCUGCACCCGGCCUGGCCUCUCUGGCGGGCCACAGGAGAGCCGGGCUGUCCCUGACCACUGCUGUUCAUUUGUGCGCACGGCUGCUGUCUCCUCAGAGUAAGGGACGCCAGGAUGUGCCCCGCGUGUUAAUCGAACGAGAACCGUGAAGGCCGGCGCCCAGAGAUGCCCGUGCAGCCCAGACGUCACGGAAGGAUGCAAAGACCCAGGUCUUGGUUUUUUCCUGGCUCAGGUUCCCCACUCACUAUAAUUGUUCCAGGCUCAGAGAGGGUGAGGAACAUGCCCAAGGUCACAGAGCCAGGAGACGGGCGAAGAGGUCAGGUUACAACCUGUUCUGACUUCGGUCUGUUCUGACUUCACGUACUGGGCCCUCCAAGCCGAAUGCGGUCCCCUUCUUUUCAUCCAGAAGCUCACCUGGAACCAAAAUGUCUCCUUCUCUGUCCAAAUGGCUUCUUAAACCACUGUCGACAGUGGCGUCAGUUUCUCAACCUCGGCUCCAUUGAUAUUUGGGGCCAGAUAAUUCCUGGUCAUGGCAGGACGUUUGGCAGCCAGCAUCCCUGGUCUCCACCACGGGAACCUGCCCAGUUAUGA